CCCUUAGAUGUUUGGGGCCGCACGCGCGCUACACUGAAGGACUCAACGUGUGUUUGUCCUGGCUCGGGAGGGCUGGGUAACCCGUUGAACCUCCUUCGUGCUAGGGAUUGGGGCUUGUAAUUCUUCCCCAUGAACGAGGAAUUCCCAGUAAGCGCGAGUCAUCAGCUCGCAUUGAUUACGUCCCUGCCCUUUGUACACACCGCCCGUCGCACCUACCGAUUGAAUGGUUCGGUGAAGAUUUCGGACUAUAGUAUUUAUCCUUCAUUGGAUUUGUAUUGUGGGAAGUUAUCUAAACCUCAUCAUUUAGAGGAAGGUGAAGUCGUAACA
RNAcentral lists this ribosomal RNA (327 nucleotides) under uncultured eukaryote. Its description in RNAcentral is "partial 18S ribosomal RNA". It matches the Rfam family "Eukaryotic small subunit ribosomal RNA", at positions 1470 to 1796 of the family's 1831-position model. The record is from RNAcentral.